CUUCUUAUCUUCUCACCGUUGUACUAGUUGAACCUGUUGUAAACUUCCCCUAUUAAGAGCAGCACCCAAACGUGCAGCAACGCUUGUCGACCACACAUCCAAGCAAAUAAUUGAGAGCGAGAUCGAGACACGAAGCCAUGGAUCUGGCGACGGGCGCCAUAGGCUCCCUGCUCCCCAAGCUGUUCGAGCUCCUCGCCGACGAGUACAAGCUGCCGAAGAGCGUCAAGGAAGGCGUCAGGUCCCUGGAGAAGGAGAUGAAGAGCAUGCACGCCGCCCUGCGCAAGGUGGCAGAGGUGCCCCGCGGCCAGCUCGAUGAGCAGGUCAGGCUCUGGGCAGCGGAGGUCAGGGAGCUCUCCUUCGACAUGGAGGACGUCGUCGACAAGUUUCUGGUGCGUGCCGAUGAUGACUCCGAGCCUUCCACCAACACGAACAAGCUUAAGUUGCUCAUCGAGAAGAUGGCCAACUUCUUCCCUAAGCUGAAGACUCGCCAUCAGAUCGCCGAUGCUAUCAAGGACAUCCAUAAGCAAGUCCAAGAGGUCGCUAACAGGCGGGGAAGGUACACCGUCGACAAUAUUGUUGCGAGAAUUGCACCCGCGACAACCAUUGAUCCGCGCCUUAAGGCUUUGUACACUGAAGUGACGGAGCUUGUGGGCAUUGCUGGGAAAAGGGAUCAAGAGCUAAUGAAUUUUCUCUCAGAAGGAGACAGCGUGUCCAACAAAAAGUUAAAGAUUGUCUCUGUCGUUGGAUUUGGGGGAUUGGGCAAGACCACUCUUGUCAAAACUGUGUAUGAGAAGAUCAAGACAGAUUUUGAUUGCAGGGCUUUCAUUCCUGUCGGUCGAAAUGCUGAUGCGAAGAAGGUUUUCAUGGAUAUCCUUCAUGAUCUUGGCAUGCAAGGAAGUCAUCUUACCGAACUGGAUGAAAGACAGCUCAUCGACAUACUCCGGGAAAGACUCGAGAACAAGAGGUACCUCAUUGUAAUUGAUGAUAUAUGGGAUGAAAAAUUGUGGGAAAUUAUCAACUUGGCAUUCUCUAGAAGUAAUAAUUUUGGCAGUCGGCUAAUCACAACAACCCGUAUAGUCAGUGUAUCUAAAGUAUGCUGCUCAUCCACUGGUCAUUCAAUUUAUCAAAUGAAACCUCUUAGUGAUGAUGAUUCAAAAACACUCUUCCAUAAAAGGAUAUUUUCUCAGGAGAGUGGAUGUCCCCUUGAAUUUGAAGAAGUAUCCACAGAUAUUCUGAAGAAAUGUGGUGGAGUGCCAUUAGCCAUCAUUACUAUAGCUAGUCUUUUGACUAGUGAUCAGAAGGUAAAGCCAAAGGAUGAAUGGCGUUCUUUGCUCAAGUCUAUUGGUCGUGGACUUACAGAAGACCCCAGUGUAGAGGAGAUGCUGAGGAUACUAUCGUUUAGCUAUUAUGAUCUGCCUUCUCAUCUCAGGACAUGUUUAUUAUACCUAAGCAUGUUUCCGGAGGAUUAUUUUAUUAGAAAAGAUCGGGUGAUAUGGAUGUGGAUUGCCGAAAGCUUUGUCCAAUGUGAAAAGGCAGGAGCUAGUCUCUUUGAGAUCGGAGAAACUUACUUCAAUGAGCUAGCGAACAGAAACAUGAUCCAGCCGGUAUAUGAUUAUAGGGGUACGGAAGUAGAAGCUUGCCGUGUACAUGAUAUGGUUCUAGAUCUAAUAUCUUCCUUGUCAAGAGAGGACAACUUUGUUACUGUAAUGAAUGGUACUGGUGAUAGCAUGUCUUCUCAGAUCAACAUCCGCAGGAUGUCCCUCCAAAAUGUUAGAAAAGAAGAAGGAUGUCAAGCCACGCCUCUCAAAUCUGUAAGUACGUUACAAGUGAGGUCAAUUGCUACAUUCGGACUUGCUAUUGGUCUAAUGCCGCCUUUCCUGAGCUUGGUUGUUCUACGUGUGUUGGAUCUGAAUGGAUGUGAUAUUGGUGAGCAUAAUCAUCUAAUCCUUCAGGACCUGGGGAGUUUAUUGCACCUGAGGUACCUAGGUCUAGCCAGAACAGGAAUUUCCGUGGUACCGGAAGAGGUUGGAAAGUUGCAGUUUCUGCAGGUGCUUGAUUUGAGUGGAAAUCAACGUAUAAAAGAAUUGACAUCGGCUGUUAUGAAACUGAAAAGACUGAUGUGCCUACUUAUUGAAUAUGGCUGUGUGUGGCUUCCAGAUGGGCUGGGAAACCUGACAUCAAUGGAAGUGUUGAGAGAUAUCACUUUUGAUUCUAUAAGCACGGUGAAAGAGUUGGGCAACAUGAAAAGGCUGAGGGAGCUUGGAAUCGAGUUUGAUAAUUUGAGCUUGGAGUUGGAGGAAGCUUUUGUGGAGUCACUAGGAAAACUGUCCAACAUCCAAAGUUUGGAAAUUUCUUGCGGUGCUCUGCCCAUUGAAUCAAUAGAUAUUUUGGGGGAACGUUGGGUGCCCCCUGGAAGUCUCCAGAAAUUUGUCGCAAUAAGUAACAAAUUCUCUACACUGCCUGCCUGGAUAAGAAGGAAUCCCUCGCACCUGUCCAAACUUUUCAAGUUAGAGAUCUGUGUCGAUCAAGUGGGACAGGAGUGUGUGGAAAUCCUUGGAAGGUUACCGGCUCUUCGUAGUCUUUACUUCUCGAGCCUCCGCCAGAGCGGGCCGCUACUCGUCGUCGUUGGUGGGUUCCCUUGUCUGACAUCAUUCGGGUGGCUUUGCCCGCCAGCGUGUGAAAUCGUGUUCCAGGCAGGAGCUAUGCCCAAGGCUGAACGAGUUGCGCUUGAUAUCGGUGUGCGGGUCACAAAUGAGGAAGCAGCUGGCGACCUGGGGAUGGGUAACCUGCCGUCCCUUCGGCAUGUCGGUGUCACCUUGAGUCGCGAAGGAGUGGCGGUCGGGCAGGCCAAGCAAGCGAAGGCUGCGCUCGAGAAUACACUCCGCGUCCAUCCUAACAGUCCCACCUUUGGUAUCUACCUCUAUCCGGAGAUACCAGCGGACGCUGACGUCUAGUUCUCGGACGAUGAGUCGGGAGACUCGGAGUGAAGAACCUGCAGGCUAGUAUUGUUUAUUGGAGACGCACGUCUGCAGACCAUAAGCAGCUCGCCGGGAACUUUAAGCAUGUGUUUCGGUUAGCUCCUUCCGUGAGGUGAGGAGGACUUUUACAGUACCCCGAUUUUGACAGGAACCAUCCAUUUUGACCAAUCCAAUGGCUCCUGGGCGCUCUAGCAGCCCAUGGAGUACAAACUCAAAAUCCGACGGAAAACUCGCGGAGUACCUCCACCGGAUGGUCAAAAAGUAAUUACUCCUCGUUGGGGAGUGGUAUUUAGGUGUUCUUUGUUUGUAUGAGGGUUUCUUUGCAUUAGUUAUGCCGGUGAAGCAUCUCCCGUCUCAAAUCGCGGACGAACCCUAGCAGAGCUCAUUUUGGCGGCGGAGGGGGAAAUGGAGGAUGAGCGGACGGGGGAAGGGGACGAAGAGCAGCGCUGCCGUGGUGUCCAGCCACCCGACGGAUGGGCGCCAGAAACGGAGGAGCCGACCGGGGAGGGGGACGAGGCGCCAGCGCAGCCAUGGCGUCCAGGCCCCUCCGACGGAUGCGAGCCGGCGGAUGGGCACCAGUUGUAGUCGGCUCGCGGCGGCGAGGUGGGGGAAGGGAGGAGCGGCCAGGUGGUCGGCUCCCUCGACAGAUGCGCUCCGACGGGUGCGGGAGUGGUGGUGGUUGGUUCGCUGCGGUGGCGAGGUGGGGGGAAGGGAGGAGCGGCCGUGGCGGUCAGGUGGUCAGCUCCCUCGGCUGAUGCGCGGUCCUGCACGACCAGAACCGUGAUGAACAUUGAGGAGUUCAACAUAGAAUGUCGCAUGGUAAUUGCUUCCUAUCAACGUCUACAUAUUUUUGCAUAUGAAUGCAUGGUGGAGAGUUAAAAUGAAUUCAUGGAUGGAAUUUUGAAGUGCAUGUAGUAAUUAUUGCACUCCUGUGUAAAUUUUUUGGGAAGUUUUUUCCCAUCCAGUACUAUAUGAACCUAAGCACAAACAGAUCACAAGAGCUCCUGAAACAAAUACCAAAAUAAUGAUUAGAUUUGCAUUAGAUGAGUUUAUGAAAUCAGAGUACACUCUGGUGAUGAAUGUGCAUACUGAUCUUUCUGCUUUGGCAAAUCGUUAAUAGUAGUUCUCUUUCAAAGUCGCGCAUCAUUGUGUGGCCACUUUUACGUCUCAGAAACUUCUUUGAGAGUUUCUUCUGACAUCCGUAAAUAUGCAGCUAUACCUCCUAGCUGAAAGUGUUUGUUCAAGUCAGUAAUUAAUAUAAUGCAAAAGCUCUAGUAUCCGUAAGAUAGCAGAGAAUGUACUCUGACUGUGUUUUGGAGUUCAGCAUCUGGACCCAUAGUGGGAAUUGAGUUCAGAAUCUGGAUACCUCUGUCCUUUGGAUUUAUGACUGUUACAUACCUGUGUAACCCACGGUUCAAGGGUAAGAAAAUCUACAUAAAUAUAGAUGUAAGACUUUGCACAAAAUAAUUGGCAUUCAAAUUUGAGUACGUAGGUAAUUUAGUUGGCUAGUAUGUUAUGCAUAAGGUAGUCAACUACUUUAGUCACCCAAUGUAUCUUCUCCAUUUGUUGCAGCCUCUAUGUAUUUGUUUGUUAUGUCGCCCGCGAACUUGUGAGGAACUUAUGUGAACUCAACGAGGACACAUUUCCUUGUGUCCAUUACUCCCUUGUGGGUAGAUUGCAGCUAUGCCUUCUUACAGUGCGACAAUAUAGCAAGGAUGUUCUAUUCUUCAGUUAUCCGACGUCACUGGAGAACAAGACUAACAGCGGAGAUUAGCCAAUGACGCCGUACUCACUUUGCCGUUUUCUGAAAGUACUAUUGCCGUUUAAUUAAACGCUGUUAUUGUACUGGUGGUAUAAAGUCCAGCUACGCCUGGCGUCUUGUUCAUCUUGUUGGUAUUUGCCUUGAGCAAAAUAUACCUAAGAAUAUACUCUAUACCUAAAACCCUAAGUCGGGGUAUCUGAAGGAGGGGUCUCCCUCCUCAGAACUACUUUAUUGUUUGAGCAAAUUCGAGUGAUUUCAUGAA
This is an RNA transcript of Lolium perenne, 5002 nucleotides long. It is a transcript of the gene named disease resistance protein RGA5, with no coding region annotated. The record is from RefSeq and is a predicted model, not a curated record. NCBI's taxonomy places the organism in Eukaryota, Viridiplantae, Streptophyta, Magnoliopsida, Poales, Poaceae.